RNAcentral lists this long non-coding RNA (1754 nucleotides) under Chloebia gouldiae (Gouldian finch). RNAcentral's name for it is "Erythrura gouldiae (Gouldian finch) lncRNA (ENSEGOG00005017477.1)". Lineage: Eukaryota; Metazoa; Chordata; Aves; Passeriformes; Passeridae. The record is from RNAcentral.
UGGAACAUUCCAGAAUUUUUCACUCCUGGAACGUUCCGGAAUUUCCCUCUGGGCGCUGCUCCAGGAAUUCCUCAGGAUUUGGGGAAUUUUCCUCGGGAUUUGGGGAAUUUUCCUCCGGAUUUUCCGGCUUUUCCUCGGGAUCCGCCGAAUUUCUGGGAUUUUCCUCUGGAUUUUCGGGAUUUUCCUUGAGAUUUUGGGGAUUUUCCAUGGGAUUUCCAGGAUCUUCCUCAGGAUUUUGGGGAUUUUUCAUGGGAUUCUCCAGAUUUUCCGUGAGAUUUUUGGGAUUUUCCGUGGGAUUUUCCAGAUUUUUGGGGUUUUCUGUGGGAUUUUCAGGAUGUUCCUCUGGAUUUUCAGGGUUUUCCGGGGCAUUUUCCAAAUUUUGGGGAUUUUCCGUGUUUUCUGUGAGAUUUUCUGGAUUUCCCUCUGGAUUUUGGGGAUUUUCCAGGUUUUCUGUGGGAUUUUCCAGGUUUUCCGUGGGAUUUUCCAGGUUUUCCGUGGGAUUUUCCAGGUUUUCUGUGGGAUUUUCCGUGGGAUUUUCCAGGUUUUCCGUAGGAUUUUCCAGAUUUUCCUCCCCUGCUCCUUCCCCUUCCUCCUGCUCCUCCUUUUCCUCGGGAUCAUCUGUGAAGGGAUUUUCCCCCUGGAAAAGAAGGAAAAAAUUCCCAAAAAUCCAAAAAUUUCCCCAAAAAACCCCAAAAAUAUUCCCCAAAUUCCAAAAUAUUCCCGAAAACCCCCCAAAAAUUCCCCCAAAACCCCCUCAAAANNNNNNNNNNCCCCAAAAAUUCCCAAAAAAAUCCCUCCGAACCCCCCAAAAAUUCCCAAAAAUCUCCCAAAAUCCCCUCCUAACCCUCAAAAAUUCACCCAAAACCUCCUUAAAAAUCCAAAAUAUUCCCCAAAAAUCCCCCCAAAAAUCCCUUCCAAACCCCCAAAAAUUCCCAAAAAAACCCCAAAAAUCCCCCCAAAAACCCCAAAAAUUCCCAAAAAAUCCCCUCCAAACCCCCAAAAAUUCCCAAAUAACCCCAAAAAUCCCCUCCAAACCCUCAAAAAACCCCAAAAAUUCCCAAAAAUCCCCUCCAAGCCCCCAAAAAUUCCCAAAAAACCCCAAAAAUCCCCUCCAAACCCCCCAGAAAUUCCCCUAAAACCCCCUUAAAAAUCCAAAAUAUUCCCCAAAAUCCCCCCUAAAAAAACCUCAAAUAUCCCCUCCAAACCCCCAAAAAUUCCCAAAAAAACCUCAAAAAUCCCCUCCAAACCCACAAAAAUUCCCAAAAAAAUCCCCUCCAAACCCCCCAGAAAUUCCCCUUAAACCCCCUCAAAAAUCCAAAAUAUUCCCCAAAAUCACCCCCCAAAAAACCCCAAAAAUCCCUGGAAAACCCCCAGAAAUUCCCAAAAAAAGCCCAAAAUCCCCCCAAAUCCGCCCCGAUCCCAGGAAAUCCGGGAAUCCGGGAAUGGCGGCGCACCCUGAGGAAGCGCCGCAGUUUGGAGCCGAUGCUUUGGUUGUUGAGGAUGCUCCGGGCCACGGCCAGCGCCGCCCGCUUGGAGCGCUCCAGCGCCGCCUGCGGAGCAACGGCGCCGACGGUCACGGAAUUCCGGGGAACGGUCCGGGAAUUCCGCGGGAACGGUCCGGGAAUUCCGCGGGAACGGUCCGGGAUGGAACGGGAACGGUCACGGGGUGGAACGGGAACGGUCACGGGANNNNNNNNNNGGGCCUGGAGAAUCCCCAAUUCCCCUGCAGGGAAUUCCCUGGGAUCAGCUUCCCA